UACGUAGGGUGCGAGCGUUGUCCGGAAUUACUGGGCGUAAAGAGCUCGUAGGUGGUUUGUCGCGUUGUUCGUGAAAACCUGAGGCUUAACCUUGGGCGUGCGGUCGAUACGGGCAUCACUGGAGUUCGGCAGGGGAGACUGGAAUUCCUGGUGUAGCGGUGAAAUGCGCAGAUAUCAGGAGGAACACCGGUGGCGAAGGCGGGUCUCUGGGCCGAUACUGACGCUGAGGAGCGAAAGCGUGGGGAGCGAACAGG
This 254-nucleotide ribosomal RNA is filed under the name uncultured bacterium. RNAcentral describes it as "partial 16S ribosomal RNA". It matches the Rfam family "Bacterial small subunit ribosomal RNA", at positions 524 to 776 of the family's 1533-position model. The record is from RNAcentral.